This 272-nucleotide long non-coding RNA is filed under the name Gallus gallus (chicken). Lineage: Eukaryota; Metazoa; Chordata; Aves; Galliformes; Phasianidae. The record is from RNAcentral.
AGAAGGUGUUCCUGGCAUAGUGCAUGAUGCUGUCAAAGUCAUAUGGUUCCCCAAGGGAAUUCACCUCUCCAGGCUCCAUCUUCAAGAAGUUGUAUUCCUGACCUGGUUGGAUAUUUUCUCUAAUGAUGGUGACAUGGUCAUCUCGGUCUGGUCGUGUAUGUUCAUGCCAAAAACCUAUCACAUGACCCAGUUCAUGGACAACUAUACCAAAUUUAUCACAGUUCUUGCCAAUAGAUAUAGCUUGAGGACCAUUUCCCCUUCGACCUACAUAA